CCUUGUGUACAUUUCGUGCUUGUGCGGUUCAUUUUUUUAUGAUUUUGUUAUGUUGACUCUGGAAUUCUAUUUUGAAACUUUUGGAUUGAUAAGACACAGGCUUUCCUAAGUCUUUUAAUAUUCAUCAAACUUCUCAAUUAAUAAACAAUUAAACACGAUUUACAACCUAUUAUCCCUGUAUAAUAUAUAGGACUGGAAAUAUUAUGUUAGCUUAAUUUUCCAGAGUCUGAAUAUUGAAGAGCAUAGCAGUCAGUCCCAUCCCCCAGAUAGUGAGGCAGAGCAGCUUACCCCAAAAAACACUAUAGCGGUAUCACAGGUUGCAAAGCUGCUGCUAUACUGAAAAUAAAGAUACAAUAUAACUAACUAUAGAACACACUUAUG
This 381-nucleotide long non-coding RNA is filed under the name Trifolium pratense (red clover). RNAcentral's name for it is "long non-coding RNA (TPRA_LNC009963)". The record is from RNAcentral. Lineage: Eukaryota; Viridiplantae; Streptophyta; Magnoliopsida; Fabales; Fabaceae.